Molecule: non-coding RNA, 31 nt
Filed under: Mus musculus (house mouse)
Lineage: Eukaryota; Metazoa; Chordata; Mammalia; Rodentia; Muridae
Source: RNAcentral
UGAGAAAACUGCUUCCUAGUGGAAGUGCACU